Molecule: ribosomal RNA, 497 nt
Filed under: uncultured bacterium
Lineage: Bacteria
Description: partial 16S ribosomal RNA
Rfam family: Bacterial small subunit ribosomal RNA
Source: RNAcentral
GAUGAACGCUGGCGGCGUGCCUAAUACAUGCAAGUCGAGCGAACGGACGAGAAGCUUGCUUCUCUGAUGUUAGCGGCGGACGGGUGAGUAACACGUGGAUAACCUACCUAUAAGACUGGGAUAACUUCGGGAAACCGGAGCUAAUACCGGAUGAUAUUUUGAACCGCAUGGUUCAAAAGUGAAAGACGGUCUUGCUGUCACUUAUAGAUGGAUCCGCGCUGCAUUAGCUAGUUGGUAAGGUAACGGCUUACCAAGGCAACGAUGCAUAGCCGACCUGGGAGGGGGAUCGGCCACACUGGAACUGAGACACGGUCCAGACUCCUACGGGAGGCAGCAGUAGGGAAUCUUCCGCAAUGGGCGAAAGCCUGACGGAGCAACGCCGCGUGAGUGAUGAAGGUCUUCGGAUCGUAAAACUCUGUUAUUAGGGAAGAACAUAUGUGUAAGUAACUGUGCACAUCUUGACGGUACCUAAUCAGAAAGCCACGGCUAACUACGUG